RNAcentral lists this ribosomal RNA (375 nucleotides) under Cryobacterium sp.2ANGV. RNAcentral describes it as "bacterial SSU rRNA". It matches the Rfam family "Bacterial small subunit ribosomal RNA", at positions 386 to 774 of the family's 1533-position model. The record is from RNAcentral. Lineage: Bacteria; Bacillati; Actinomycetota; Actinomycetes; Micrococcales; Microbacteriaceae.
AUGCAGCACGCCGCGUGAGGGACGACGGCCUUCGGGUUGUAAACCUCUUUUAGUAGGGAAGAAGCGAAAGUGACGGUACCUGCAGAAAAAGCACCGGCUAACUACGUGCCAGCAGCCGCGGUAAUACGUAGGGUGCAAGCGUUGUCCGGAAUUAUUGGGCGUAAAGAGCUCGUAGGCGGUUUGUCGCGUCUGCUGUGAAAACCCGAGGCUCAACCUCGGGCCUGCAGUGGGUACGGGCAGACUAGAGUGCGGUAGGGGAGAUUGGAAUUCCUGGUGUAGCGGUGGAAUGCGCAGAUAUCAGGAGGAACACCAAUGGCGAAGGCAGAUCUCUGGGCCGUAACUGACGCUGAGGAGCGAAGGCAUGGGGAGCGAACA